GUAGUCAUAUGCUUGUCUCAAAGAUUAAGCCAUGCAUGUCUCAGUACAAGCCAUAUUAAGGUGAAACCGCGAAAGGCUCAUUAAAUCAGUUAUGGUUCCUUAGAUCGUACACACAUUUACUUGGAUAACUGUGGUAAUUCUAGAGCUAAUACAUGCAAACAGAGCUCCGACCGGAGACGGAAGGAGUGCUUUUAUUAGAUCAAGACCAAUCGGCGGCAAUUUAGUUUUGGCUUUAUUGUUCGUCGCACUUUUUGGUGACUCUGAAUAAACUUUGGCUGAUCGCACGGUCUAGCACCGGCGACGCAUCUUUCAAAUGUCUGCCUUAUCAACUGUCGAUGGUAGGUUCUGCGCCUACCAUGGUUGUAACGGGUAACGGGGAAUUAGGGUUCGAUUCCGAAGAGGGAGCCUGAGAAACGGCUACCACAUCCCAGGAAGGCAGCAGGCGCGCAAAUUACCCACUCCCGGCACGGGGAGGUAGUGACGAAAAAUAACGAUACGGGACUCAUCCGAGGCCCCGUAAUCGGAAUGAGUACACUUUAAAUCCUUUAACAAGGACCAAUUGGAGGGUAAGUCUGGUGCCAGCAGCCGCGGUAAUUCCAGCUCCAAUAGCGUAUA
Molecule: ribosomal RNA, 615 nt
Filed under: Aphaenops chappuisi
Lineage: Eukaryota; Metazoa; Arthropoda; Insecta; Coleoptera; Carabidae
Description: SSU rRNA
Rfam family: Eukaryotic small subunit ribosomal RNA
Source: RNAcentral